GGCGAACGCUGGCGGCGUGCUUAACACAUGCAAGUCGAACGGUGACGAGGAGCUUGCUCCUCCGAUCAGUGGCGAACGGGUGAGUAACACGUGAGUAACCUGCCCCAGACUCUGGGAUAACAGUUGGAAACAGCUGCUAAUACCGGAUACGAGACGGAGAGGCAUCUCUACCGUCUGGAAAGUUUUUCGGUCUGGGAUGGACUCGCGGCCUAUCAGCUUGUUGGUGAGGUAAUGGCUCACCAAGGCGACGACGGGUAGCCGGCCUGAGAGGGCGACCGGCCACACUGGGACUGAGACACGGCCCAGACUCCUACGGGAGGCAGCAGUGGGGAAUAUUGCACAAUGGGCGAAAGCCUGAUGCAGCGACGCCGCGUGAGGGAUGACGGCCUCGGUUGUAACCGUCUUUCAGCAGGGAAGAAGCGAAAGUAGACGGUACCUGCAGAAGAAGCACCGCGUAACUACGUGCCAGCAGCCGCGGUAAACGUGUAGU
This 490-nucleotide ribosomal RNA is filed under the name uncultured bacterium. RNAcentral describes it as "bacterial SSU rRNA". It matches the Rfam family "Bacterial small subunit ribosomal RNA", at positions 28 to 533 of the family's 1533-position model. The record is from RNAcentral.